This 328-nucleotide unclassified non-coding RNA is filed under the name soil metagenome. Its description in RNAcentral is "partial contains 5.8S ribosomal RNA, internal transcribed spacer 2, and large subunit ribosomal RNA". The stretch from base 1 to 121 matches the Rfam family "5.8S ribosomal RNA", at positions 35 to 154 of the family's 154-position model. The record is from RNAcentral.
GAUGAAGAACGUAGCGAAAUGCGAUAAGUAAUGCGAAUUGCAGAAUUUCCGUGAGUCAUCGAAUCUUUGAACGCACAUUGCGCCCUCUGGCAUUCCGGAGGGCACACCUGUCCGAGCGCCGUCGCAACACUGAGGCUCAGCCUUGCGUUGGCGGCCAGCUUCUGGAGACGGAAGCUGCCGCUCAAACUCGACGGCGCCGCGACCGGCGGAGACGAACGCACGAAAGCGAGAGUCCCCCGGGUCACGGCCGCCUUGUAGACCAAAUCAAGCUUGGCCUCGGAUCAGGUGGGGAUACCCGCUGAACUUAAGCAUAUCAAUAAGCGGAGGA